AUGCCAACGUCAUCAGUGGCAAAUGGGUGUUCCGCCACAAGACACGUCCGGAUGGAUCUCUCGUGCGCUACAAAGCUCGUUGAGUGGUCCGUGAGUUUUGACAGCAUGGGGGUGUCGUCUUCACCGACACCUUUGCCCCGGUUGUCAAAACCGGGCACGAUUCGCACAGUCCUUCAGUUGGCGGUCUCGUGCGCAUGGCCCGUGCAUCAGUUGGACGUCUCCAACGCUUUCCUGCAUGGCCACCUUGGCGAGCAGGUGUUCUGUCAACAACCCACUGGCUUCAUCGACGCCGAGCAUCCAGAUCACGCAUGCUUGCCCUCUCGUUCCCUCUAUAGGCUGAAGCAGGCGCCAUGGGCGUGGUACCAGCGUAUCGUGGCAUUCCUACAGUGGCUUGGUUUUCGGUCCACACUUUCCGAUGCUUCACUUUUCAUGUAUCAUCAGGGAGCUGCUACCGCGUACCUAGCUUUUGCUCUAUGUUGA
Molecule: ribosomal RNA, 480 nt
Filed under: Triticum aestivum (bread wheat)
Lineage: Eukaryota; Viridiplantae; Streptophyta; Magnoliopsida; Poales; Poaceae
Description: partial small subunit ribosomal RNA
Source: RNAcentral